Molecule: ribosomal RNA, 497 nt
Filed under: uncultured bacterium
Lineage: Bacteria
Description: partial 16S ribosomal RNA
Rfam family: Bacterial small subunit ribosomal RNA
Source: RNAcentral
GAUGAACGCUGGCGGCGUGCCUAAUACAUGCAAGUCGAGCGAACGGACGAGAAGCUUGCUUCUCUGAAGUUAGCGGCGGACGGGUGAGUAAUACGUGGAUAACCUACCUAUAAGACUGGGAUAACUUCGGGAAACCGGAGCUAAUACCGGAUAAUAUUUUGAACCGCAUGGUUCAAAAGUGAAAGACGGUCUUGCUGUCACUUAUAGAUAGAUCCGCGCUGCAUUAGCUAGUUGGUAAGGUAACGGCUUACCAAGGCAACGAUGCAUAGCCGACCUGAGAGGGUGAUCGGCCACACUGGAACUGAGACACGGUCCAGACUCCUACGGGAGGCAGCAGUAGGGAAUCUUCCGCAAUGGGCGAAAGCCUGACGGAGCAACGCCGCGUGAGUGAUGAAGGUCUUCGGAUCGUAAAACUCUGUUAUUAGGGAAGAACAUAUGUGUAAGUAACUGUGCACAUCUUGACGGUACCUAAUCAGAAAGCCACGGCUAACUACGUG